Molecule: ribosomal RNA, 459 nt
Filed under: uncultured bacterium
Lineage: Bacteria
Description: partial 16S ribosomal RNA
Rfam family: Bacterial small subunit ribosomal RNA
Source: RNAcentral
CCUACGGUGGGCAGCAGUGAGGAAUAUUGGUCAAUGGUCGGGAGACUGAACCAGCCAAGCCGCGUGAGGGAUGAAGGUACAGAGUAUCGUAAACCUCUUUUGUCAGGGAACAAAGGCGGGGACGUGUCCCCGGCUGAGUGUACCUGACGAACAAGCAUCGGCUAACUCCGUGCCAGCAGCCGCGGUAAUACGGAGGGUGCGAGCGUUAUCCGGAUUAAUUGGGUUUAAAGGGUGCGCAGGCGGUCUGUUAAGUAAGCGGUCAAAGCCCGGGGCUCAACCCCGGCCCGCCGUUGAAACUGGCAGUCUCGAGUUGGAGAGAAGUAUGCGGAAGGCGCGGUGUAGCGGUGAAAUGCAUAGAUAUCGCGCAGAACUCCGAUUGCGAAGGCAGCAUGCCGGCUCCACACUGACGCUGAGGCACGAAAGCGUGGGUAUCGAACAGGAUUAGAUACCCCAGUAGUC